Molecule: ribosomal RNA, 484 nt
Filed under: uncultured bacterium
Lineage: Bacteria
Description: partial 16S ribosomal RNA
Rfam family: Bacterial small subunit ribosomal RNA
Source: RNAcentral
AGUGAACGCUGGCGGCGUGCUUAACACAUGCAAGUCGAACGAGAACGGGUUAUAGCUUGCUAUAAUUGUCAGCUAAGUGGCGCACGGGUGAGUAAUGUAUAGGUAAUAUGCCUCUUACUAAGGGAUAACAAAUGGAAACGUUUGCUAAUACCUUAUACUCCUUAUUAACAUAAGUUAAUAAGGGAAAGAUUUAUUGGUAAGAGAUUAGCCUGUAUUGUAUCAGUUAGUUGGUGGGGUAAUGGCUUACCAAGACUAUGACACAUAACUGGUUUGAGAGGAUGAUCAGUCACAGUGGAACGGAGACACGGUCCAGACUCCUACGGGAGGCAGCAGUGGGGAAUAUUGCACAAUGGACGAAAGUCUGAUGCAGCAACGCCGCGUGGAGGAUGACACAUUUCGGUGCGUAAACUCCUUUUAUAUGAGAAGAUAAUGACGGUAUUAUAUGAAUAAGCACCGGCUAACUCCGUGCCAGCAGCCGCGGUAA